GCCUCAGUACGGCGAGUGAAGCGGCAACAGCUCAAAUUUGAAAUCUGGCCCCCUCGGGGUCCGAGUUGUAAUUUGGAGAAGAUGCUUCGGGUGCGGCCCCGGUCUAAGUUCCUUGGAACAGGACGUCACAGAGGGUGAGAAUCCCGUACGUGCCCGGUGGUCGCCCCCAUGUGAAGCUCUUUCGACGAGUCGAGUUGUUUGGGAAUGCAGCUCUAAAUGGGUGGUAUAUUUCAUCUAAAGCUAAAUAUUGGCCAGAGACCGAUAGCGCACAAGUAGAGUGAUCGAAAGAUGAAAAGCACUUUGGAAAGAGAGUUAAACAGUACGUGAAAUUGUUGAAAGGGAAGCGCUUGCAACCAGACUUGCGCGCGGCCGAUCAUCCGGUGUUCGCACCGGUGCACUCGACCGCGCGCAGGCCAGCAUCGGUUUGGGUGGCUGGACAAAAGGCCUCGGGAAUGUGGCUCCCCUCGGGGAGUGUUAUAGCCCGAGGG
Molecule: ribosomal RNA, 488 nt
Filed under: Oidiodendron sp.
Lineage: Eukaryota; Fungi; Ascomycota; Leotiomycetes; Myxotrichaceae
Description: partial large subunit ribosomal RNA
Rfam family: Eukaryotic large subunit ribosomal RNA
Source: RNAcentral